CGAUAGCUCAGCAGGAUAGAGCGUCGGAUUCCUAAUCCGAAGGUCAGAGGUUCGAAUCCUCUUCGGG
Molecule: transfer RNA, 67 nt
Filed under: marine eukaryotic metagenome
Rfam family: tRNA
About the family: Transfer RNA (tRNA) molecules are approximately 80 nucleotides in length. Their secondary structure includes four short double-helical elements and three loops (D, anti-codon, and T loops).
Source: RNAcentral